GAUAUGUGACUAGGGCUACUUGCUCUGCCAGCCAUAAGAAGUUUGUCUGGUAAAGAGAUACUAUGUUAUUGUCAUUCAAGCAGAGAUCCAUGAUCAGGGAGAAACAGCAGGGAAACAGAGCCAUCCCAAGUCCUGCUCCUCAUCAUGACAUAUUAAGUACAUUCUGGAUACAUAAGGAUACAUAUGGAUGCAUAGAACAGAGGGUGUCUGAAAGGAUGGGAUCAAGGCUGAUCCUCCCAGCAUCUGUCUCUCAAUCAUAAGCCUAAUCAAAGAGCUGGUAAAGGAAGCCAGAUGGAGAUUGAUGUGGGUAAAUUCUGAUGCUGUUGGUGUGCCUGGAUCCAACUGUGCCUGAAGAUGCUUGCCACAUCUAAAUGCCAGCUAAAGAGGGAAUCAAUGGCACAAUCUGGAAAGAAGUUCAAUCAACGUGCCCUGGAAAGAGGACCUGGAAAAGGGCUUUGGUGUCCAUAAGUUCAUCUUCAGAGUACUGGAAUCAGCUGUAGGUUUAAGCAGGAAAGAAUCAGGCAAGGUGAAUGGUUUUACACAGUGCACAUGAGAUUCUCCCUACACCAGAAGUGGAUGCCGAGAUAGAAAGAGGAUUAAUAGAAUUCUCUGACAUUUUUCUCAGUUAGAUCAUCUGCAAUUAACUUAGCAACACCAGGUGACUACAGUAGGAUGGGCCAAGAAGCAUACAACCGGAGUCUGACAACACAGAAAAUACAAAUAAACUGAAGGACAUCUCACAAA
Non-coding RNA from Mus caroli (Ryukyu mouse), 744 nucleotides. NCBI's taxonomy places the organism in Eukaryota, Metazoa, Chordata, Mammalia, Rodentia, Muridae. The record is from RefSeq and is a predicted model, not a curated record.